Molecule: ribosomal RNA, 1372 nt
Filed under: uncultured bacterium
Lineage: Bacteria
Description: bacterial SSU rRNA
Rfam family: Bacterial small subunit ribosomal RNA
Source: RNAcentral
GAUGAACGCUGGCGGCGUGCCUAAUACAUGCAAGUCGAGCGAACGGACGAGAAGCUUGCUUCUCUGAUGUUAGCGGCGGACGGGUGAGUAACACGUGGAUAACCUACCUAUAAGACUGGGAUAACUUCGGGAAACCGGAGCUAAUACCGGAUGAUAUUUUGAACCGCAUGGUUCAAAAGUGAAAGACGGUCUUGCUGUCACUUAUAGAUGGAUCCGCGCUGCAUUAGCUAGUUGGUAAGGUAACGGCUUACCAAGGCAACGAUGCAUAGCCGACCUGAGAGGGUGAUCGGCCACACUGGUACUGAGACACGGUCCAGACUCCUACGGGAGGCAGCAGUAGGGAAUCUUCCGCAAUGGGCGAAAGCCUGACGGAGCAACGCCGCGUGAGUGAUGAAGGUCUUCGGAUCGUAAAACUCUGUUAUUAGGGAAGAACAUAUGUGUAAGUAACUGUGCACAUCUUGACGGUACCUAAUCAGAAAGCCACGGCUAACUACGUGCCAGCAGCCGCGGUAAUACGUAGGUGGCAAGCGUUAUCCGGAAUUAUUGGGCGUAAAGCGCGCGUAGGCGGUUUUUUAAGUCUGAUGUGAAAGCCCACGGCUCAACCGUGGAGGGUCAUUGGAAACUGGAAAACUUGAGUGCAGAAGAGGAAAGUGGAAUUCCAUGUGUAGCGGUGAAAUGCGCAGAGAUAUGGAGGAACACCAGUGGCGAAGGCGACUUUCUGGUCUGUAACUGACGCUGAUGUGCGAAAGCGUGGGGAUCAAACAGGAUUAGAUACCCUGGUAGUCCACGCCGUAAACGAUGAGUGCUAAGUGUUAGGGGGUUUCCGCCCCUUAGUGCUGCAGCUAACGCAUUAAGCACUCCGCCUGGGGAGUACGACCGCAAGGUUGAAACUCAAAGGAAUUGACGGGGACCCGCACAAGCGGUGGAGCAUGUGGUUUAAUUCGAAGCAACGCGAAGAACCUUACCAAAUCUUGACAUCCUUUGACAACUCUAGAGAUAGAGCCUUCCCCUUCGGGGGACAAAGUGACAGGUGGUGCAUGGUUGUCGUCAGCUCGUGUCGUGAGAUGUUGGGUUAAGUCCCGCAACGAGCGCAACCCUUAAGCUUAGUUGCCAUCAUUAAGUUGGGCACUCUAAGUUGACUGCCGGUGACAAACCGGAGGAAGGUGGGGAUGACGUCAAAUCAUCAUGCCCCUUAUGAUUUGGGCUACACACGUGCUACAAUGGACAAUACAAAGGGCAGCGAAACCGCGAGGUCAAGCAAAUCCCAUAAAGUUGUUCUCAGUUCGGAUUGUAGUCUGCAACUCGACUACAUGAAGCUGGAAUCGCUAGUAAUCGUAGAUCAGCAUGCUACGGUGAAUACGUUCCCGGGUCU